This 2853-nucleotide ribosomal RNA is filed under the name Faucicola osloensis. Its description in RNAcentral is "bacterial LSU rRNA". It matches the Rfam family "Bacterial large subunit ribosomal RNA". Lineage: Bacteria; Pseudomonadati; Pseudomonadota; Gammaproteobacteria; Moraxellales; Moraxellaceae. The record is from RNAcentral.
UCAAGUAAUGAAGUGCACAUGGUGGAUGCCUUGGCAGUCAGAGGCGAUGAAAGACGUGACAGCCUGCGAAAAGCGUCGGGGAGGCGGCAAUAUCCUGUGAUCCGGCGAUAUCUGAAUGGGGAAACCCACUUGUCAUAAGACAGGUAUCGUAAAUUUAUUUACGAGGCAAACCGGGAGAAGUGAAACAUCUCAGUAACCCGAGGAAAAGACAUCAAUAGAGAUUCCCCUAGUAGCGGCGAGCGAACGGGGAGGAGCCGACUGAUUAUAAUUUAGAGGAAUGACUUGGAAAGGUCAAUCGUAGAGGGUGAUAAUCCCGUACUCGAAAGGUUAUAAGAAGCAUAUUAAGUAGGGCGGAACACGAGAAAUUCUGUCUGAAGAUGGGGGACCAUCCUCCAAGGCUAAAUACUCCUGACUGACCGAUAGUGAACCAGUACCGUGAGGGAAAGGCGAAAAGAACCCCUGUGAGGGGAGUGAAAUAGAACCUGAAACCGUGUGCAUACAAGCAGUCGGAGCGGACAUGUUCCGUGACGGCGUACCUUUUGUAUAAUGGGUCAGCGACUUAUAUUCUGUAGCAAGGUUAACCGAAUAGGGGAGCCGUAGGGAAACCGAGUACUUAAUAGGGCGUCUAGUUGCAGGGUAUAGACCCGAAACCGAGUGAUCUAUCCAUGAGCAGGUUGAAAGUGACGUAACAGUUACCGGAGGACCGAACCCACUGUCGUUGAAAAGCCAGGGGAUGACUUGUGGAUAGGGGUGAAAGGCUAAUCAAACUCGGUGAUAGCUGGUUCUCCCCGAAAGCUAUUUAGGUAGCGCCUCGGACGAACACCAUUGGGGGUAGAGCACUGUUUCGGCUAGGGGGUCAUCCCGACUUACCAAACCGAUGCAAACUCCGAAUACCGAUGAGUGAUAUCCGGGAGACAGACGGCGGGUGCUAACGUCCGUCGUCAAGAGGGAAACAACCCAGACCGCCAGCUAAGGCCCCAAAUUCCUAGUUAAGUGGGAAACGAUGUGGGAAGGCACAGACAGCUAGGAGGUUGGCUUAGAAGCAGCCACCCUUUAAAGAAAGCGUAAUAGCUCACUAGUCGAGUCGGCCUGCGCGGAAGAUGUAACGGGGCUCAAACUAGGAGCCGAAGCUGCGGAUUUAAUUGUUUCAAUUAAGUGGUAGGGGAGCAUUGUGUAAGCCUGUGAAGGUGUGUUGUAAAGCAUGCUGGAGGUAUCACAAGAGCGAAUGCUGACGUGAGUAACGACAAAACGGGUGAAAAGCCCGUUCGCCGGAAGACCAAGGGUUCCAGUCCAACGUUAAUCGGGGCUGGGUGAGUCGACCCCUAAGGCGAGGCCGAAAGGCGUAGUCGAUGGGAAAUCGGUUAAUAUUCCGAUACUUGUUUAUGAUGCGAUGGAGGGACGGAGAAGGUUAUGCCAGCUUGGCGAUGGUUGUCCAAGUGGAAGGAUGUAGUUAGGUUUAGUAGGCAAAUCCGCUAGACUAUUAAUGAGAUCUGAUAGCAAGCUGUACUUGUACAGCGAAGUGGCAAAUACCCUGCUUCCAGGAAAAGCUUCUAAGCGAUAGUCAUAAAGAAAUCGUACCCGAAACCGACACAGGUGGUCAGGUAGAGAAUACCAAGGCGCUUGAGAGAACUCUGCUGAAGGAACUAGGCAAAAUGGUACCGUAACUUCGGGAGAAGGUACGCUGCCGAUGGUGAGUAGUCACGCACUACAAAGCUAUUGGCAGUCGCAGAUACCAGGCCGCUGCAACUGUUUAUUAAAAACACAGCACUCUGCAAACACGAAAGUGGACGUAUAGGGUGUGAUGCCUGCCCGGUGCUGGAAGGUUAAUUGAUGGGGUUAGCGUAAGCGAAGCUCUUGAUCGAAGCCCCAGUAAACGGCGGCCGUAACUAUAACGGUCCUAAGGUAGCGAAAUUCCUUGUCGGGUAAGUUCCGACCUGCACGAAUGGCAUAAUGAUGGCGGCGCUGUCUCCAGCAGAGACUCAGUGAAAUCGAAAUCGCAGUGAAGAUGCUGUGUACCCGCGGCUAGACGGAAAGACCCCGUGAACCUUUACUACAGCUUUACAUUGAACUUUGACCUUACCUGUGUAGGAUAGGUGGGAGGCUUUGAAGCAGGCACGCCAGUGUCUGUGGAGCCAUCCUUGAAAUACCACCCUGGUAAUGUUGGGGUUCUAACUCAAGCUUAACAGAGCUGAGGACAAUGUAUGGUGGGUAGUUUGACUGGGGCGGUCUCCUCCUAAAGAGUAACGGAGGAGUACGAAGGUGCGCUCAGAACGGUCGGAAAUCGUUCGAAGAGUAUAAAGGCAAAAGCGCGCUUAACUGCGAGACCCACAAGUCGAGCAGAUACGAAAGUAGGUCUUAGUGAUCCGGUGGUUCUGUAUGGAAGGGCCAUCGCUCAACGGAUAAAAGGUACUCUGGGGAUAACAGGCUGAUACCGCCCAAGAGUUCAUAUCGACGGCGGUGUUUGGCACCUCGAUGUCGGCUCAUCUCAUCCUGGGGCUGAAGCAGGUCCCAAGGGUAUGGCUGUUCGCCAUUUAAAGAGGUACGCGAGCUGGGUUUAGAACGUCGUGAGACAGUUCGGUCCCUAUCUACCGUGGGCGUUGGAAAUUUGAGAGGAUCUGCUCCUAGUACGAGAGGACCAGAGUGGACGAACCUCUGGUGUUUCGGUUGUGACGCCAGUCGCAUUGCCGAGUAGCUAUGUUCGGAUGGGAUAACCGCUGAAAGCAUCUAAGCGGGAAGCCCACCUUAAGAUUAGAUUUCCCUAAAGAGCCGUUGUAGACUACGACGUUGAUAGGUUGGGUGUGGAAGCAUAGUGAUAUGUGUAGCUAACCAAUACUAAUUGCUCGUUUGGCUUGA